GUUUAGCUAUUGUCAGAAAACGACAAAAGAGAGCUGCUGAUUUUUAAUUAAAUUUCAACCUUUCGUGAAAAGUUAUUUGUGGUUGAGAAUUUUCAGUGGUUGAAAUAUUAUAACCAUUUAGGUUUUGAAGCUGACCCCUUCAUUCUAGUAAAAGGUUCAUUGUGCAUGAAUCAAGUACUAGAGCGACGGCUUGUGCAUGUCAUGGUGUAACACGGAUGAAGGAGACAGAAGCUGGCUAAUAAAGUCAAAAAUCAAUUAUAUAAAUUAGAUUCCAUCCAUAUGUGACAAAGAAACUGAACAUUUUUCACGACCCUUCCAUCCUAUCACUUUGGUCAAUUUAGUUCAUGAAAGAUACAAUGUGAAAGUGCUUCAUUCGCAUAUGUGAGUUACGCCAGUUUACAAGGGUA
Molecule: long non-coding RNA, 407 nt
Organism: Pyrus x bretschneideri (Chinese white pear)
Lineage: Eukaryota; Viridiplantae; Streptophyta; Magnoliopsida; Rosales; Rosaceae
Exons: 2
Source: RefSeq, a predicted model, not a curated record